GGGUAAACCAGAGUGCUAUAAUGGUCAUACUGGGAUAGCCAGGUUUAUAGUAUCUCUAUAAAGGUAACACUGGGACAGCCAGGUUUAUAUUAGCUAUGUAAUGGUGACAUUGGGACAGCCAGGGAAUGGCUGAGCUCUAUAAUGGUGACCCUGGGACAGCCAGAUUUAUAUUAUCUCUAUAAUGGUAACACUGGGACAGCCAGGUGUACCCAAGAUCCAUAAUGAUGAUGCUGGGACCGUCCGACGUACUUGAGCUUCAAAACGGUGACACUGGGACAGCCAGGUGACCUUGAGCUCUAUUAUGGUGAUGCCUGGAUAACAAUGUGUACUACAAUA
Long non-coding RNA from Erpetoichthys calabaricus (reedfish), 336 nucleotides. RefSeq lists it as uncharacterized. Lineage: Eukaryota; Metazoa; Chordata; Cladistia; Polypteriformes; Polypteridae. The transcript has 3 exons. The record is from RefSeq and is a predicted model, not a curated record.